AAGACAAAAAUGGCAAGUCGACGAGAGACCUUCGGGUCUCUAGUGGCGAACGGGUGAGUAACACGUAGGGAACCUGCCCGCGCACCGGGAAUACGCUCUGGAAACGGAGAACAAAUCCCGAUGUACAGGAAGGAGGCAUCUUCUUUCUGUGAAACAUCCUUUCGGGGAUGGGGCGCGGAUGGACCUGCGGUGCAUUAGUUGGUUGGCGGGGUAAAGGCCCACCAAGACGAUGAUGCAUAGCCGGCCUGAGAGGGCGGACGGCCACAUUGGGACUGAGACACGGCCCAGACUCCUGCGGGAGGCAGCAGUAGGGAAUUUUCGUCAAUGGGCGCAAGCCUGAACGAGCGAUGCCGCGUGAGUGAAGAAGGCCUUCGGGUCGUAAAGCUCUGUUGCGGGGGAAAAAAGGCAGCAUCAGGAAAUGGGUGCUGACAGAUGGUGCCCCGCCAGAAAGUCACGGCUAACUACGUGCCAGCAGCCGCGGUAAUACGUAGGUGGCGAGCGUUAUCCGGAAUGUUUGGGCGUAAAGGGUGCGCAGGCGGUCCUGCAAGUCUGGAGUGAAACGCAUGAGCUCAACUCAUGCAUGGCUUUGGAAACUGGAGGACUGGAGAGCAGGAGAGGGCGGUGGAACUCCAUGUGUAGCGGUAAAAUGCGUAGAUAUAUGGAAGAACACCAGUGGCGAAGGCGGCCGCCUGGCCCGUUGCUGACGCUGAGGCACGAAAGCGUGGGGAGCAAAUAGGAUUAGAUACCCUA
RNAcentral lists this ribosomal RNA (750 nucleotides) under uncultured bacterium. Its description in RNAcentral is "bacterial SSU rRNA". It matches the Rfam family "Bacterial small subunit ribosomal RNA", at positions 44 to 789 of the family's 1533-position model. The record is from RNAcentral.